This 466-nucleotide ribosomal RNA is filed under the name uncultured bacterium. RNAcentral's name for it is "partial 16S ribosomal RNA". It matches the Rfam family "Bacterial small subunit ribosomal RNA", at positions 28 to 507 of the family's 1533-position model. The record is from RNAcentral.
GACGAACGCUGGCGGCGUGCUUAACACAUGCAAGUCGAACGGUAAGGCUCCAGCUUGCUGGGGUACACGAGUGGCGAACGGGUGAGUAACACGUGGGUGACCUGCCCUGCACUUCGGGAUAAGCCUGGGAAACUGGGUCUAAUACCGGAUAGGACCAUGGUGUGGAUACUGUGGUGGAAAGUUUUUUCGGUGUGGGAUGGGCCCGCGGCCUAUCAGCUUGUUGGUGGGGUAAUGGCCUACCAAGGCGGCGACGGGUAGCCGGCCUGAGAGGGUGGACGGCCACCUUGGGACUGAGACACGGCCCAGACUCCUACGGGAGGCAGCAGUGGGGAAUGUUGCACAAUGGGCGGAAGCCUGAUGCAGCGACGCCGCGUGGGGGAUGACGGCCUUCGGGUUGUAAACUCCUUUCACCAUCGACGAAGGGUUUCUGACGGUAGAUGGAGAAGAAGCACCGGCUAACUACGUG